UAUUAUAUUAUUAUUAUAUUGCGUCGUUAUUAUAUUAUUCUGUUAUUUCAUAUGUCCGAUUUACCUACAUGAGUGGGAAUCGAUUUGGAGGAAAAAAAAUUAAAUACACGUACUCCAUGGACAUGAAAGAAAACUGGCUGAAAGUAAUGCAUAGAUGGUACCUAACCCCCCAAAAGAUAGGAUUUAUGUAUAAAAAUACUAAUAAUAAAUGCUGGAAAUGUAAAUCUCAAGUGGGCUCGUACCACCCUAUGUGGUGGAGUUGUAGAAAGAUGGCAAAAUUUUGGACGAUGAUGUUAGACGAAAGUAAUAAAAUUCUAAACACAAACUUUGCGAAGACGCCUGAGCUCCUCCUGCUAGGGUUAUAUGAUGAAUUAGAUAAGGUAGAUUUAAAUACAGAUAAACUAUUUACAUUUUUUUAUUACUGCAGCAAGGAUGGUAAUCGCAAAACAAUGGAAAAGUGAGAAAGCCCCAUCGAAAGAUGCCUGGCUGACCAAAUGGACUGAAAUAAAGGAUAUGGACAAACUUACCUUCUGAAUGAGAAAGAGCAACGGAAGAGCUAUAAGAGCCACGGACUGGUCAAACUUUGAAGACUACCUUGUUACUUCAGAGAAGGGAACCAGCAAGCAAGGAUGGUAAUCGCAAAACAAUGGAAAAGUGAGAAAGCCCCAUCGAAAGAUGCCUGGCUGACCAAAUGGACUGAAAUAAAGGAUAUGGACAAACUUACCUUCUGAAUGAGAAAGAGCAACGGAAGAGCUAUAAGAGCCACGGACUGGUCAAACUUUGAAGACUACCUUGUUACUUCAGAGAAGGGAACCAGCAAGCAAGGAUGGUAAUCGCAAAACAAUGGAAAAGUGAGAAAGCCCCAUCGAAAGAUGCCUGGCUGACCAAAUGGACUGAAAUAAAGGAUAUGGACAAACUUACCUUCUGAAUGAGAAAGAGCAACGGAAGAGCUAUAAGAGCCACGGACUGGUCAAACUUUGAAGACUACCUUGUUACUUCAGAGAAGGGAACCAGCAAGCAAGGAUGGUAAUCGCAAAACAAUGGAAAAGUGAGAAAGCCCCAUCGAAAGAUGCCUGGCUGACCAAAUGGACUGAAAUAAAGGAUAUGGACAAACUUACCUUCUGAAUGAGAAAGAGCAACGGAAGAGCUAUAAGAGCCACGGACUGGUCAAACUUUGAAGACUACCUUGUUACUUCAGAGAAGGGAACCAGCAAGCAAGGAUGGUAAUCGCAAAACAAUGGAAAAGUGAGAAAGCCCCAUCGAAAGAUGCCUGGCUGACCAAAUGGACUGAAAUAAAGGAUAUGGACAAACUUACCUUCUGAAUGAGAAAGAGCAACGGAAGAGCUAUAAGAGCCACGGACUGGUCAAACUUUGAAGACUACCUUGUUACUUCAGAGAAGGGAACCAGCAAGGUUGUAUUCAGAUUUUCUGGGAAGUUGUAGUUUAGGUAAACAUAAUGAAGAUUUUACUGAUUGCAGUACAGUCUCCUUAUCUAUAGAUUUGAUAUGCAUGGUUUUACUUACUGUAGUAAACUCUCCCCUCCAAAGUGUUUGUAGGCCUCUCUAUGUUCUUCGCUGCAAUUCUGUGAUAUGUUUCUGGCCCAAAUAUCCGCGAAAUAUAAGGUUUACUUGCAUCCAUGGGGAUCUUAGAAUGGGAGGUAUAUGUAAUAGUUUAACCCUUAAGCUCUUCCUCAUUAAAAAAAUUGCAGGAAAGUCUAGUUAUUUUUCCCCCUCCACAAAUGUCUUGCAGGCAUUACAUUUUUUGUUCUUUUUAAAAUGUAAUACAAUGGUAUAAUUAUCCCCCCCCCUCCCAAGCACAUCUUCUCUGUUGGUUUCUUCUUUUCUGGGUAGGAGAUAUUACUUUUUGGAGCCAACCCGGGAUUUUAUCAGUAUAUUUAUUGUAUGUGACCUCAUUUGUUUUAUGAUUUGUUUUAUUGUUGAUUGACUUGUUUUAUUGAUAUGUUUUUAUAUUGUCUGAUAUCUGGGCUUGGCCCCAUGUAAGCCGCCCUGAGUCCCUUCGGGGAGAUGGGGCGGGGUAUAAAACUAAAAUUAUUAUUAUUAUUAUUAUUAUUAUUAUUAUUAUUAUUAUUAUUAUUACCUUAAGAAAAGAUGAUAAGAACUAUCUAAUUGGAACAUAAAUGAUUAGUGACAAAGAUCGGAAGUCAAUCCCCCCCCCCAUUGCUAGUGUCUAUCCCCUCUCACAAUCCCUAAUCCAGACACACUUGCCCUGCCCCUGCCCUCCCUUCCCUGUUCCCCUGCCGUAUGUCGUCUUAUGUUUUAUGUUUGAUGUUUUAAAAGAAACUUCUCAAUAAAAAUGAUACAAAAAAUAAAAUAAAAAAAUAAACUUAACCAAACCUGGCUGUUUAAACAAAAUCAAAUAAACAUGUCAUCCAUAAAUCAAAAUAAAAACACACACUUCUUUACACCAACUUUGGUUGCAAAUGUAUGCAAUUUCCUUGAGAAACCUCUUCCUUCCUUCCCAGGCACCAUUUCUUAAACCCAGAAAGGGAAAACACACGUAGGAGCCGCCUGAAUUCUCACUUCUCUGUCCUUACGGCUGAGUUACAACUCGCUGAGCUUGUUUUGAUUCUGUUUCUAUACAAAACGGUGGCUCCCAUCAUGAAAUCAAUAAAGUUUAUUAUUUCACGACG
This is a long non-coding RNA of Anolis carolinensis (green anole), 2650 nucleotides long. RefSeq lists it as uncharacterized. NCBI's taxonomy places the organism in Eukaryota, Metazoa, Chordata, Lepidosauria, Squamata, Anolidae. The record is from RefSeq and is a predicted model, not a curated record. The transcript is spliced from 5 exons.